Molecule: long non-coding RNA, 465 nt
Filed under: Sus scrofa (pig)
Lineage: Eukaryota; Metazoa; Chordata; Mammalia; Artiodactyla; Suidae
Description: lncRNA (ENSSSCG00040010118.1)
Source: RNAcentral
AUUGUGUGCAGUGUCCCGAGUCCGAAGGCGAAUGGGGUGAGAGUCAGUCUGGAAAGCACAGCCAGGGAACCAGGUUGCUGCGCAGUGCUCAGCUCCCAGCGCUCACCAAUCCUGCAGCAAACACUCUCAGAGCAGCCCCUGAGGGCCACCCUCUGCCAGGUGGAGGUACAGACGCAACUAAGACACCAAGGAGCUCCAGGCGUCCGCCUUUCCUGGCUCAGUGGCCCCUGACACAUGAGGUAAAGCGGUGUCUCAGAUAAGAGGGGGGGAACUUUCUGGCUUUUUCUCACGCACUCAUGUUUGUCUCCCAGGGUGUGGUGGGGAGGGCUGGGAGGAUCUUGCGAGCUGGCUGGCAGCAGUGAGUGUCCAGGAUAAUGAGGGCCAAAUACUUUUCCUCCAGUAGAUUCUCGAGUGUCUGAAAUGCACCACUUAAUGGGACGCAGUUGCAAGUGAAAUAAGUGGGUC